CUAGCGGCAGGCUUAACACAUGCAAGUCGAGGGGCAGCGCGGGAUAGCAAUAUCCUGGCGGCGACCGGCGGAAGGGUGCGUAACGCGUGAGCGACAUGCCCGUUGCCCGGGGACAACCGGUGGAAACGCCGACUAAUCCCCGAUGGGAUACGAUGCUUCAUGGCAUUGUAUUGAAAGUUACGGCGGCGACGGAUUGGCUCGCGUCCGAUUAGCUUGUUGGCGGGGUAACGGCCCACCAAGGCUGCGAUCGGUAGGGGUUCUGAGAGGAAGGCCCCCCACAAUGGGACUGAGACACGGCCCAUACUCCUACGGGAGGCAGCAGUGAGGAAUAUUGGUCAAUGGGCGGAAGCCUGAACCAGCCAUGCCGCGUGCGGGAAGGAGGCCCUAUGGGCUGUGAACCGCUUUUGCCUGGGGGCAAUAAGGGCGUCGCGCACGUCCGAUGAGAGUACCAGGCGAAUAAGCAUCGGCUAACUCCGUGCCAGCAGCCGCGGUAAUACGGGGGAUGCGAGCGUUAUCCGGAUUCAUUGGGUUUAAAGGGUGCGUAGGCUGUGCGUCAAGUCGGGGGUGAAAUUCCGGUGCUCAACACCGGGGCUGCCCUUGAUACUGUCGCGCUGGAGUGCGGAUGCCGCCGGAGGAAUGAGUGGUGUAGCGGUGAAAUGCUUAGAUAUCACUCAGAACACCGAUUGCGAAGGCAUCUGGCGAAUCCGUAACUGACGCUGAGGCACGAAAGCGUGGGGAUAGAACAGGAUUAGAUACCCUGGUAUUCCACGCCGUAAACGAUGAUGGCUAACCGCCGGCGACACACUGUCGGUGGCCAAGCGAAAGCGAUAAGCCAUCCACCUGGGGAGUACGUCGGCAACGAUGAAACUCAAAGGAAUUGACGGGGGCCCGCACAAGCGGAGGAACAUGUGGUUUAAUUCGAUGAUACGCGAGGAACCUUACCCGGGCUCGAACGGCACCUGGAUCGCCCAGAGAUGGGCGAGUCUUCGGACAGGUGUCGAGGUGCUGCAUGGUUGUCGUCAGCUCGUGCCGUGAGGUGUCGGCUCAAGUGCCAUAACGAGCGCAACCCUUGCCGCCAGUUGCCAUCAGGUGAUGCUGGGCACUCUGGCGGGACUGCCACCGCAAGGUGUGAGGAGGGGGGGGAUGACGUCAAAUCAGCACGGCCCUUACGUCCGGGGCGAC
Molecule: ribosomal RNA, 1182 nt
Filed under: human gut metagenome
Description: bacterial SSU rRNA
Rfam family: Bacterial small subunit ribosomal RNA
Source: RNAcentral